UUCUGAAUGUGUUUCUUUUUUCCUUUUUUUUUUUUCUCGAGUCUUACAGUUAAAGAGAAACACCUGUUUCAGGAAAGCUAACACUCUCACAAGACUUUGCUCAGCAGCUACCUGGAAUAUCUAAGCCUAGCUGUGAAUCAAGCCAAGCUAGAAGUUGAAGCCUGAAAUUAGUCAAUGCUGUGAGCGCAGUUCGGAGCCUUUUUAAAGUUUUUAUAGCCCAAGCAAGUGGCCUGGAAAUUACAUUAUUAUUGUUACAACCAUUCUCUCUCACAUUUUGACCAGAAGGUGUCAGGUGCUACCUGUGAACAGUUUCACACUACUGAAAGGCCUGAAACUAAGAGGCAUUUGUCCUUGAAACCAGUCAUGAAUGGAAGGUGAUGUUGAGAAGUCGUUAUCCAUCACUCUGGAAGAGUUGGUGAUGGGCAGACUGCCUGGCUUCUGGCAUGGCAUUUGGGUACAGGGGAUGGAAAAACAGAAGCUUAUCCAGAAAUCCUGAAAUACAUGGUCUGAUUUUUCCAGAACUGGAACAAGAGAAGCACCUCACCAAAAGAGAGCAAAUGCUGUCAUUUGACCUUUUCAGCCUUUGGAUUCUCAGUGCAUCUGACUCGACCAGGCAGGUCUGGGGAAGAGAAAAAUUAACAGCAGAUGGAUUUAUGAAAAGAGCUCAGUGGCAGAUGGUGCCUACAGAUAUUUACUGACAUGGCCUCGGUCUUACAGGGUGGGUUUUUUUCCCCUUUUAGUAGUGCUGUUAGUACAUGAGUGUGUGUGUGUGUGUGUUACGACAUAAUGCUGGCAGAUAGGGAUUACAUUGUUAGCAAGAGAAGAAACUCAGGGACUUCUAGUAUUGAGUUUGAGUAGUUCAGAGUUCCUCUUUGCUCAUGGUUUAAUCCAAUGGCAAGCAGCUGCGGUAGGAAUCUUUCUGGUCUCCUCCAUCUGUAAAUUCUUGAAUCACCAUUUUUCUGAAAUGGGUUCAUCUUCAUUGUACAGGGUUUUUAUCUUCUGGUAAUCAUUGUCACCUACACACUCAGACUCAGAGCUCUGACUGCCUUUCCACUAACGCUUCAGUUUUGUACUUCGAUAAUGAAGAUAAUGAUGCUGGACUUGAUUAUGAAAUGAGCUGAGUUUCACAGCUUAGAAUGUUUCUGUAUAUGGACUAGGUAUAAUUAAUUUCUUUCUGUUAUUACAUGCAAAAUCCUGUAACAGAUGGACUAGUAUAAUUUGGCAGAUAAUUUAUCUGACGUUUCCCUCAUCAAUCAUUAAACAAUUGGUAUAUUUCUUCAUUGUGCAGUCAGCUUUAAAUCCUAUUUUGUUAGAUGAUUCAUGGCAUACUGAUGGGAUUGGUCUAGAUCCAUCGAAAUCAAUGAGGAGACUGACUUGAACAGACUGUGAAUCAGACCUCAUUUUUAUACCAGUUGAUCUCAAAAGAUGGCAUAAUUAGUGAGUAAGAAGAUUCAUUUUAAGUUGUGUCUUGCUUUGUACUGGGGUUUUUCUGGAGAUGUUCCUCUGCAUAAUGCACAGAUAAGAAUGAAGCAAAUGUCGUUUUAUAUCCGUUUGCAGGGGCCUGUGUUGGAGGACAUGUUGCUGUGACAGUGGUGUCUGUAGAUGAUAUGUUGAAGGAGUGCAGAGUCAUGGUCUUACUACUGAAGUAGUAAAAUCCACUGAAGUCAUCCCAUUCCCUUCUCCUUCAGUAGUAGACACCUCCUCAUGUCAUGGAACAGAGCCACGAUACUUGGUAGUUGACUACUUGAUGUUUAUUAAAACUUCCUUCUCCCAAGACAGUGAUUUUUUUUUCCUAUGUAAUUUUAGAAGAAUGCUUGAAAAAGGUGACUUAGAUGAACCCUACAGGCUCAUUAAACAGUGGCAACUGAUAAAUCUUUUCUUUGAUAGUCUCUUGAAUUUUUAAGUCUUGGAGUUGGUAAUGCCCAUACUAUAGAUGUACGGAAAUGAAUAUUUCAGAAGUGGGCCAUACCUUUUAAGUGGGGUGAUUUGAAUAAAUGAUUUCACUUUUCUUCUGCCUUUUAAUUA
Numida meleagris (helmeted guineafowl) is the source of this 2025-nucleotide long non-coding RNA. The record is from Ensembl. NCBI's taxonomy places the organism in Eukaryota, Metazoa, Chordata, Aves, Galliformes, Numididae.